RNAcentral lists this ribosomal RNA (433 nucleotides) under uncultured bacterium. RNAcentral describes it as "partial 16S ribosomal RNA". It matches the Rfam family "Bacterial small subunit ribosomal RNA", at positions 29 to 507 of the family's 1533-position model. The record is from RNAcentral.
AACGAACGCUGGCGGCAUGCCUAACACAUGUAAGUCGAACGAGACCUUCGGGUCUAGUGGCGCACGGGUGCGUAACGCGUGGGAACCUGCCCUUAGGUUCGGAAUAACUCCCCGAAAGGGGUGCUAAUACCGGAUAAUGUCUUCGGACCAAAGAUUUAUCGCCUUUGGAUGGGCCCGCGUUGGAUUAGCUAGUUGGUAGGGUAAAAGCCUACCAAGGCGACGAUCCAUAGCUGGUCUGAGAGGAUGAUCAGCCACACUGGGACUGAGACACGGCCCAGACUCCUACGGGAGGCAGCAGUGGGGAAUAUUGGACAAUGGGCGAAAGCCUGAUCCAGCAAUGCCGCGUGAGUGAUGAAGGCCUUAGGGUUGUAAAGCUCUUUUACCCAGGAUGAUAAUGACAGUACCGGGAGAAUAAGCUCCGGCUAACUCCGUG